UUAAAUUCGACCCGUGUGAAAUUGCUUUUUUCAAUAAGAAUAAUAGAAGCUUGCAUUGUGAUGUUUCACUCGUUAAUCAAUUUUCUUUCUUAUCAGUGAUAUAUCGAAUCAUUCAAUGAAGAAAAAUUAUCAAGAAGUUCAAUUUUCCAACGAUUCAUAAGUAUUUUAACUGCAGUGUUUCGUACUUCUGCUCAUAUAAAAGACGAAGGUUUAAAUAAUUUUACAGUAUAAUAAUAGUAAUAUAGUAUAUUAAUCUUUUAUCAAAGGUAUGUUUGCAAUAAACAUCUUGUAAUUCCUAUGUGCAUCCCCAAUGUUUCAUUUUAUUAAUUAAAUUUUACUGUUUGAUACUCGCGAUAUGUUAUAAUGGUAAAAUAAUAUUUUAAAGAAUUUCGUAUAAAAUACAUAAUAUAUUCAUAUACAUUAUUUUAUGAUAAGUGUCCAGAUACUUUCGUGAGUUACUCUACAUGAUGUUGUACAUUUUGUGUCGAUAAAGUGAUGAAGUGAAAACAUCUAUUACUCAAAACGCAAAUGUAUUAUAUUAUGUAACAUAUAUAUAUAUAUACAUAAUACCUGGCGCGUAAAAUGUUUCAUUUGCAUUGGAAUGUAGUAAAACUUAAAAACAAAGUAUCUAAGAAAAGAGGUGUUUUCUCUCUUUAUGCGUUAUUCGUAUCUAUUUAAAAACAUAAUUUCCUUUAAUAAGAAAUUUGUCCCGCCUUUACGAGGAAUUUCUUGUCUAGAUUUUGAAUUUUCUAAAUUGAUUAGUCACAUCAUUUUCGUUCGUUAACUCUGUGGUGAUGGUGCAGACAGUGAAUAAGUAGAGUGAAAGUGUGAACGAUGCAUAGCUUAGCAGAAACACAUAUAGG
This is a long non-coding RNA of Bombus huntii, 863 nucleotides long. RefSeq lists it as uncharacterized. Lineage: Eukaryota; Metazoa; Arthropoda; Insecta; Hymenoptera; Apidae. The record is from RefSeq and is a predicted model, not a curated record. The transcript is spliced from 2 exons.